GUCGUUUGGAUGUGUUUAUAAGGAAAACAAACUGUGUCGACAUGUUGUGGAUUUGUUGGAUUUGGGAUUCACCUUGUUCCACUGACUUCAUGGAUCAUUCCAAGAAGUUUUCCCCAGUCGGGAAUAAUUUGGACUAAGAUGAAGUACAUCAAUAAGAAUCAUUACGGAGCUCGGCAUGGCAAUGAAGAAUUGGCAGAUGCUCGUGUGAGUACCUCAGUUCCUAACAAGCAAGCAGUGGAUGGGGCAGUGGUCACCAUGCUCAUCCAAGACUGCCAGCCACUCACCAUUGUUGAAAAUGAGGGAUUCGGGGAGCUCCCGAAGCUUACCAACUCGCACUUACAUUUGUAUCCUCACCAUCAUCAUCUGCACCCUGUGAAAGAGUUUUUUUUUUUCUCCCAAGGCAAGGAACUGGUGUCUAAGAGGAGAAAUCCCCUUGGAGCAAAGACGCUUCCAAAACUUUUGCUCAUCAAUAAAAAUGCACUAAUUCA
This is a long non-coding RNA of Phyllopteryx taeniolatus (common seadragon), 488 nucleotides long. RefSeq lists it as uncharacterized. The transcript has 3 exons. The record is from RefSeq and is a predicted model, not a curated record. NCBI's taxonomy places the organism in Eukaryota, Metazoa, Chordata, Actinopteri, Syngnathiformes, Syngnathidae.